Molecule: long non-coding RNA, 437 nt
Filed under: Brassica napus (rape)
Lineage: Eukaryota; Viridiplantae; Streptophyta; Magnoliopsida; Brassicales; Brassicaceae
Description: long non-coding RNA (BNAP_LNC026409)
Source: RNAcentral
CUCUUUUUCUGCUUAUUUUCAUUUUAUUCUUUCAUAUUGAUCGUGUUGUAUGUGGCCCAGCAGAUAACUGGGAACUUCAUGGAAGGCUAGGUUAACUUGGCUUUCCUCCGAUUAAAAAAACUCGACGGUGUGAAUUUUGGUUCCCACACCGGACAAAAACGUCGACCCUGCCACAGUCUCCACGAUUAAGGCGGUCAGCACGACUACGACCGCCGAGUAAGAACACUCGCAGCAUAAAACAGAACUACGAGAUGGCUUGAUCCUCGAAAGGGGUAUGUAGGCAGCUCGUCAAAAGACGAGUUCAGCUACCCCCCUCUCUAAAAAGAGGGGGGGGGGGAGUGGGUACGUAUACUCGUAUACUCCCACAUUUUAAAGACUACCAUUGUAAUUGAGAUUUCUAAAACUUUUACUACAAUACACACUUUUCGAGCUCUUAC